RNAcentral lists this ribosomal RNA (184 nucleotides) under uncultured eukaryote. RNAcentral's name for it is "partial 18S ribosomal RNA". It matches the Rfam family "Eukaryotic small subunit ribosomal RNA", at positions 1299 to 1458 of the family's 1831-position model. The record is from RNAcentral.
UGGUGGAUUGAUCUGUCUGCUUAAUUGCGAUAACGAACGAGAUCUCCACUUUUAAAUAGGUGGACACCACGUAUGUAUGUACGGCUUACACUGUUGCUUCGGCUCAAUGUUUGCCCGAGUUGUGUCAACACUUCUUAGAGGGACUGUGUAUGUUUAUAAUACACGGAGGAUGGAGCCAAUAGCA